CACACAGAUGGUGGCCUGGUUGACUGUGGUACCUCCAGGUGAAUCUGAUAACUAGCAGGACUCUACACGAACCACUCUACUCUACAGAUGGCAAACUUUACUAUUGGAGUAAUACCUGUUGGAACGGGAGACUGAUUCUGAAGACAAUGACGAUAAAAGGAUGCCUUACACUACAAGCUGGCCGCAUUGGUUCAUUCAGUGUGUUACCUUUGGCAUCGAGGAACUCCGAUCCUGUUUCUGAGACCUUCACUGGUGCUCUGCAGUGUCAAGACGCCAGGAGGGGUGAGAGUAUUUUUAAAGUCCUGGCUUUGAACACUGGACAUGUGGAACUGCAGUGAAAGGACAGCCAUGCCGGUGGUCUGCUCUACAAUGUGCAGGAGACACAAAGGAGGGAAAUUGCAUUAAUAUUUGAAAUAAUGAAGCAGUGUGGUCAUUAGACUGGUCUCCUCUGCUUCCAUAGCAAUACAUUAAGGCUAGACAAGCGCCAUGUAUUUUACAUGGUCCUGUCAACGCAAAAGAUGGAUCCUGCGGCAUAAUGAUGUCCUCUUAAAAGGCUCUGUAGGUAGAAAGAAGAAAAAAAAAGACCGGAGAUUGUGUGUGUGUGUGUGUGUGUGUGUGUGUGUGUGUGUGUGUGUGUGUGUGUGUGUGUGUGUGUGUGUGUGUGUGUGUGUGUGUGUGUGGGUGUCAGACACCAGGCUGCUUCCUGUCCCUGGUCACACGGCUGACCUGAUUUGCCUUUUAAAGCCUCAGAGUUAGCUGUCUGAGUGUAUGCAUGCUUGUACACAAGCUUGUUUUGCACUAUUCCCAACACACUUACAUGCACACUUGUUCAUGAAACACACACACACACACACACACACACACACACACACACACACACACACACACACACACAGAGAGAGAGAGAGAGAGAGAGAGAGAGAGAUCUACAAUGUGAUGACCCUGAUUCACCUUUCACCUCAAGAGAGAUUUUGGUCCAAAUCCCCCCAUGUGGGACUGUCUGAGCCACUGACCUGCGUGUGAUCCUUCACCAAUAUUACUGAACACUAUCAAUGUGGAGGUGGAUUGUAGUGUGCGUGUGUGUGCCUGACAAGGAAGUGGAGGAAGUACAGUGACGUCCAUGCGAUUAUCACUUAGUAGGUCUCAGGGUUCAGUGUUUAUCGUUUCCUUUGACCUAAUGGGUUUCAGAUACAGACCGCACACACACCUCGAUCACAUUUUGUGCAGCCAAGAUGGAUUUCUCAGGAAAUCUGUGGCAUGUUUCAUGGCCCGACUACAGGAACACAACUAAAGCCAGGAGUGUUUUAGGCAGUGGCAGAUGGUGGUAAGACAAAGGGAUAAUUUUUCCAGGGAAGCAUAAAUCCUUAUUGCAAAAGAAGCCUAUAGGGUUUAUGGGUAAUGUAGGUUUUGUUUGAGAAACAUUUACCCUUUAACAGUUGUUGAAAGAUGAAUUAUCUCCCCUUUUUAAACUUCAAGAGCUUAAGCUGUAUUUCUAUUAACAUUAUAUUGCAAACCCUCUUCCCUUUUUCUCUUAGCAUCCUAGAGUACCCUUGCUCUGGUCUGACAAGGUUAUGUCAGGCAAUGUGCUCAGAGGAGCUAUUGAUUUCCCCUCCAACCUCUCAUUCCUUCUGCUUGUUUGUACUAUGGCCAGUGGGGGAAAAAAAAAAACAACAACAAAAAAACCCUCUUUUAGCACUCACAUUUUUCAGCACUUAUCAAAAAGUAGUAUCCUGUCCAAAUGUCAUAUGUCUGGGUUUCUUUUCAAGUACAUUUACAACAAAUGAUGACAGAUUAAAGCAGAAAUAUGAAAUGGAAAUGCUAAAUUCUGAUUCCUUCCCAUUACCAAAAAAGCUUUGCACACUUUACAAAUGGAGUAAACCCAUUUGUUUGUAGUGACAUUUGUGUGGCAAAUAUCUGUUUACUAAAAUUUCACAGAAUUAUGCUACUGUUUUUAGUGUAAAUAUCAGUUAAAAAUGUGCUUUUCAUUUUUGUCUUGAGACUGCAUCAAAUAUGACAGUCAACUUCAAAACAGCAGCUCAGUAUCCAUCAUACUAUUCUCUUAAUUUGGACAAAUAAGCAAAGAUGAACAAAAAUAACAGAAAUGUCCGUGUACGGAUCUGGUAAUUGGAGUUUCCGUUCUGAAACGGGUAUUGAAAAACAAAAAACGAGUGGUUAUUUGAUUUUCGUUUUAAAAUACAAAAAUUAAAAUUGAAAUACAAGGCGUUUUUCCUUUUCAUGAUCAAAAAGGGAUAUACGAUUUUUUAAAAAAAAUGCUUUUAUUUUCGUUUUAUAUUUAGAAUAACAAGAAAGUAAAAUCAGUAAGAGACAGAAACGAAAAAAGGUCAGUUUUUUCAUUUUCUGAGACCGGAAGUGGUCAUCAGCAAGUGGAGCCAAACAGAGUACGUGCAUAGACUGUACAUACAUUUUUUUCAUGAGUUUUCAUGGUCAAAAUGAGAGAUCAGGUGGCCGAUCUUAAAAUAAAUCUAUAUUGAUUUUUUUCUAUAGAGCGUUAAAGUUUUGCGAAGCCAGGGGGCGGGACUACUUGAUUGACAGUCCGGUCCGGAAUGAUUGACAGGUCCUAUGGAGGAGGCAGCAGAGUCUCUGCUCUCCUCGUUUGGAUUAAUUCUGAUAUAAUAACUGUUGGUUUAUUUAUCGGUGGAGCAGUACAACAUUUUCCACAGACAGUUUUCCUGCCCGUUGGCUUGUUUUAACCAGUUUUCUGCCUUCGGCUGAUUCUACCAGCAGACACUGAGAGGACUCUGAUAGUUCUGUAAGUAAAUGUUUAUUUUCGUAUCGGUGCCGCUUUUAAUGCACUUUAUAUGCAGCUUUACUGUCAGAUAUAAUGUGUGCCAUGCACUCCAGAUGUUGGUGGAGUUUGUUUCAGUGUGUGUUGACCAGAGAAGAAAGUUAGCAUAGUAAAUAUUAGCUUUAAUGUUAGCGAUGCUAACCGAGCUAGCUGCUCAGUGGUAGCCUGAUUAAAGAUAACGUAGCAUCAAGCUAAUGUGUUGAGUUUCAUGUAAACAGCUGAAGUGUGUUGUGUUCCUGUAAUGUGGUUCAUUAAGUUCAUAAAACUGUGGCUGGUUGACAUUAAUGUAACGUUCAGGAAACUUAAAUGUGAUUAAAACAGUAACGUUAAUGUUCUAGUUGUCAGUAAUCAGCUUUAAUUUGACACUAAAACAGACUGAUAGUUUUAAAUGACAUCAGUUUCAUUAAUUUGUUGAAAAUUGUCUCAUUUGUUGUUGUGAUGUUGCUGCUGAUUCAUUAAAAGCAGAUGAUCUGUGUUGAAGAUCCGUUUAGUUCUAGUAUCAGAAAUACAAGAAGGAAAAUGGAAGUUUAGUUCUGCUACAUCAAAGAUUUCAGGAUUAAAAUAACUAAAUGAGUCGUUAUGCCUCAAACUUAGUCAAAUCGUCUCGAGACAAUUUGACUGUAAUUGGCGCUAUAUAAAUAAAAUUGAAUUGAAUUGAAACUUUAUUUUUACAAUAAUGAAAUAAUCACAGAUAAUAAAAAUAUAAAUAGCAGAGAAAACCGGAGAGAAUAAUUUCCUGAAAAGUCUGUGAAGGAAAAGCAGCUUUUUAUCCUGAAAGAUCAGAAUCAGCUCCGACAUCUGCAUCUGACAGCAUCAAGUCAACCAGAAAGAAAAGAAAAAAGAAAAUGACUUCUUUCUGAUCACAUCUGUUUCACUGCUCACUGUCUGCUGCUGCUCACAUUCUUCACAUUUAUAGUCCACUUUUAAAAGUUCAGCAGACAGGUGCUCUGCUUUGGAGUGUGACGAUGUCGUUGGUGAUGUGGAGAGUGAAGUUUCCGUUUCACCCACAGCGUGCUUUAGGGCAGCCGGGUCGGACUUGAUGUUUGAAAUACUGACUGACAGCUCAGAUUUAACUGUCUGUUAUUCCGUUUUGAUGGGUGUUAAACAUUCACUCAAAGCUGCCAGGAGCUGGGUCUUUAAAACAACCGCCGUCUCGUUACAGAGUGAAAGUAGCAGUUCCUCCUUAACGUCAGAGAUUGCAGCAUCUGAGGACCUCGUCAAAAGAAGACGUAGUUGAUGAAGGCGUUCUGGAGCAGGACCAGAAAGACCACGACCAAGCAGCCAUGAGAUCUUAGGCAGCGUCUCCCUCAGGUGGGUGUCAACGGUGUUCACGGUCAGGUCUGUGGUAAUCCUGUCAAAAAACAAAACAGAAAAAAAUCUAGAUUAUAAAUCAACAUGUAACCAAAGCACUCUGUGUAUAACGCCAUAGUAUAGGAUGUAGUUCAGAAAAUGUCAAAGUAUAGUAUACUUUUCAAGAAUAACAUAGUAUGGCCUGUAGUUCAUAGUAUAGCAUGUUGGCAACAAAACCCAACUGAUUAUUAUGUGGUUCAAAAAGUGCAAAAUGAUAGGAUGUUGCCUAAAAUUGUCAUGUAUGAUAUGUGGUUCAAAAAACGUCAUAGUGCAGUAUAUUGUCAAAAUAGUAGGUUUUUCAAGAAAACAUCAGAGUAUAUGUCGUCUAAAAAAUGCCAUAGAAUAAUAUUUCAUUGCCCAAGUAAAACUAUAGUAAUUUUUAAAACUGUUCAAAUUCUUAUAAUGUGUUGCUAAAAAGCAAAAAAAAAACUAAAACAAAAAAAUCAUAGUAAUAUGUCAAUUUAAAAAGCCUAUAGUAUAGAGUGUCGCCCAACAAACGUCAUAGUAUAUCAUGUUGCUCAAAAAACAUUAUAGUAUAGCAUGUCGCUCUAAAAACGUCAUAGUAUAGCAUGUCGCUCUAAAACGUCAUAGUAUAGCAUGUCGCUCUAAAAACGUCAUAGUAUAGCAUGUCAUUCUAAAAAUGUUAUAGUAUAUCAUGUCGCUCUAAAACGUCAUAGUAUAGCAUGUCGUUCUAAAAAUGUUAUGACGUCACAGUAUAGCAUGUCGCUCUAAAAACGUCAUAGUAUAGCAUGUCGCUCUAAAAAUGUUAUACUGUAGCAUGUCGUUCUAAAAACAUCAUAGUAUAGCAUGUCCCUCUAAAAACAUUAUAGUAUAGCAUGUCGCUCUAAAUGUGUCGUAGUAUAGCAUGUCGCUCUAAAAACGUCAUAGUAUAGCAUGUCGCUCUAAAAACAUCAUAGUAUAGCAUGUCGCUUUAAAAACAUUAUAGUAUAGCAUGUCGCUCUAAAAACGUCAUAGUACAGCAUGUCGCUCUGAAACGUCAUAGUAUAGCAUGUCGCUCUAAAACCGUCAUAGUAUAGCAUGUCGCUCAAAAAAGUCAUAGUAUAGCCUGUCGCUCUAAAAAUGUCAUAGUAUAGCAUGUCGUCCAAAAACCGUCAUAGUAGAGCAUGUCGCUCUAAAAACGUCAUAGUAUAGCAUGUCGCUAUAAAAACGUCACAGUAUAGCAUGUCGCUCUAAAAACGUCACAGUAUAGCAUGUCGCUCUAAAAACAUCAUAGUAUAGCAUGUCGCUCUAAAAACGUCAUAGUAUAGCAUGUUGCUCUAAAACGCCAUAGUAUAGCAUGUCGCUCUAAAAACGUCAUAGUAUAGCAUGUCGCUCUGAAAACGUCAUAGUAUGUCCUGUCGCUCAAAAAACGUCAUAGUAUAGCAUGUCGUCCAAAAAACGUCAUAGUACAGCAUGUCACUCUAAAAACAUUAUAGUAUAGCAUGUCGCUCUAAAAACGUCAUAGUAUAGCAUGUCACUCUAAAACGUCCUAGUAUAGCAUGUCGAUCUAAAAACGUCAUAGUAUAGCAUGUCGCUCUAAAACGUCCUAGUAUAGCAUGUCGAUCUAAAAAUGUCAUAGUUUAGCAUGUCACUCUAAAAACGUCAUAGUAUAGCAUGUCGCUCUAAAAACGUCAUAAUAUAGCAUGUCGUUCUAAAACUGUCAUAGUGUAGCAUGUCGCUCUAAUAACGUCAUAGUGUAGCAUGUCGUUCUAUAAACGUCAUAGUAUAGCAUGUCACUCUAAAAGCGUCAUAGUAUAGCAUGUCGUUCUAAAAACGUCAUAGCAUAUCAUGUCACUCUAAAAACGUCAUAGUAUAGCAUGUCGCUCUAAAAACAUCAUAGUAUAACAAGUCGACCAAAAAACGUCAUAGUAUAGCAUGUCGCUCUAAAACGUCAUAGUAUAGCCUGUCGCUCUAAAAACGUCAUAGCAUAGCAUGUCGCUCAAAAAACGUCAUCGCAUAGCCUGUCGUUCUAAAAACGUCAUAGUAUAGCAUGUCGCUCUAAAAACGUCAUAGUUUAGCAUGUCGCUCUAAAAACGUCAUUGUAUAGCAUGUCGCUCUAAAAACGUCGUAGUAUACCAUGUUCCUCUAAAAAUGUCGUAGUAUAGCAUGUCGUCCAAAAAACGUCAUAACAUAGCAUGUCGCUCUAAAAACUACAUAGUAUAGCAUGUCGUCCAAAAAACGUCAUAGUUUAGCAUGUCGCUCUAAAAACGUCAUAGUAUAGCAUGUCGCUAUAAAAACGUCACAGUAUAGCAUGUCGCUCUAAAAACGUCAUAGCAUAGCAUGUCGCUCUAAAAACGUCAUAGUAUAGCAUGUCGUCCAAAAAACAUCAUAGUAUAGCAUGCCGCUCUAAAAACAUUAUAGUAUAGCAUGUCGCUCUAAAAAUGUCAUAGUAUAGCAUGUCGCUCUAAAACGUCAUAGUAUAGCAUGUCGCUCUAAAAACGUCAUAGUAUAGCAUGUCGCUCUAAAAACGUCAUAGUAUAGCAUGUCGCUCUAAAAACGUCAUAGUAUAGCAUGUCGUUCUAAAAACAUCAUAGUAUAGCAUGUCGUUCUAAAAACGUUACAGUAUAGCAUGUCGUUCUAAAAAUGUUAUAGUAUAGCA
Molecule: long non-coding RNA, 6755 nt
Organism: Amphiprion ocellaris (clown anemonefish)
Lineage: Eukaryota; Metazoa; Chordata; Actinopteri; Pomacentridae
Exons: 4
Source: RefSeq, a predicted model, not a curated record